GAUGAAGAACGUAGCGAAAUGCGAUACUUGGUGUGAAUUGCAGAAUCCCGUGAACCAUCGAGUCUUUGAACGCAAGUUGCGCCCGAAGCCAUUAGGCCGAGGGCACGCCUGCCUGGGCGUCACACGUCGUUGCCCCCCCAUCUACUCCUUCGGGAUUGCGGGGGGCGGAUGAUGGCCUCCCGUGCGCCUCGCCGCGCGGUUGGCAUAAAUGCCAAGUCCCCGGCGACGCACGCCACGACAAUCGGUGGUUGCGAAACCUCGGUUGCCCGUCGUGUGCGGUCGUCGCGCAUCGAGGGCUCGAAAAAAUUGCCGGGUUCCGGCUCGGCUUUCAACGCGACCCCAGGUCAGGCGGGGUUACCCGCUGAAUUUAAGCAUAUCAAUAAGCGGAGGA
RNAcentral lists this unclassified non-coding RNA (391 nucleotides) under soil metagenome. RNAcentral's name for it is "partial contains 5.8S ribosomal RNA, internal transcribed spacer 2, and large subunit ribosomal RNA". The stretch from base 1 to 122 matches the Rfam family "5.8S ribosomal RNA", at positions 35 to 154 of the family's 154-position model. The record is from RNAcentral.